GAUGAACGCUGGCGGCGUGCCUAAUACAUGCAAGUAGAACGCUGAAGGAAGGAGCUUGCUCUUUCCGGAUGAGUUGCGAACGGGUGAGUAACGCGUAGGUAACCUGCCUGGUAGCGGGGGAUAACUAUUGGAAACGAUAGCUAAUACCGCAUAACAGUAGAUGUUGCAUGAUAUCUACUUAAAAGGUGCAAUUGCGCCACUACCAGAUGGACCUGCGUUGUAUUAGCUAGUUGGUGAGGUAACGGCUCACCAAGGCGACGAUACAUAGCCGACCUGAGAGGGUGAACGGCCAAACUGGGACUGGGAAACGGCCCAGACUCCUACGGGAGGGAGCAGUAGGGAAACUUCGGCAAUGGACGGAAGGCUGACCGAGCAACGCCGCGUGAGGGAAGAAGGUUUUCGGAUCGUAAAGCUCUGUUGUAAGAGAAGAACGAGUGUGAGAGUGGAAAGUUCACACUGUGACGGUAUCUUAACAGAAAGGGACGGCUAACUACGUG
Molecule: ribosomal RNA, 497 nt
Filed under: uncultured bacterium
Lineage: Bacteria
Description: partial 16S ribosomal RNA
Rfam family: Bacterial small subunit ribosomal RNA
Source: RNAcentral